GGGGGUGUAACUCAAUGGUAGAGUGUAUGCUUUGCAAGCAUAAAGUUAUUGGUUCAAGUCCGAUUACCUCCA
RNAcentral lists this transfer RNA (72 nucleotides) under Pleurosigma inscriptura. RNAcentral describes it as "tRNA-Ala". It matches the Rfam family "tRNA". From Rfam's summary of the family: Transfer RNA (tRNA) molecules are approximately 80 nucleotides in length. Lineage: Eukaryota; Bacillariophyta; Bacillariophyceae; Naviculales; Pleurosigmataceae. The record is from RNAcentral.